Molecule: ribosomal RNA, 606 nt
Filed under: uncultured bacterium
Lineage: Bacteria
Description: bacterial SSU rRNA
Rfam family: Bacterial small subunit ribosomal RNA (bases 1-521)
Source: RNAcentral
CCUACGGGAGGCAGCAGUGGGGAAUAUUGGGCAAUGGAGGAAACUCUGACCCAGCGACGCCGCGUGCGGGAUGAAGGCCUUCGGGUUGUAAACCGCUUUCAGUAGGGAAGAAGCGAAAGUGACGGUACCUACAAAAGAAGCACCGGCUAACUAUGUGCCAGCAGCCGCGGUAAUACAUAGGGUGCAAGCGUUGUCCGGAAUUAUUGGGCGUAAAGAGCUCGUAGGUCGUUUGUUACGUCGGAUGUGAAAACCUGAGGCUCAACCUCAGGCCUGCAUUCGAUACGGGCAAACUAGAGUUUGGUAGGGGAGACUGGAAUUCCUGGUGUAGCGGUGGAAUGCGCAGAUAUCAGGAGGAACACCAAUGGCGAAGGCAGGUCUCUGGGCCAAUACUGACACUGAGGAGCGAAAGUCUGGGGAGCGAACAGGAUUAGAUACCCUGGUAGUCCAGACCGUAAACGGUGGGCACUAGUUGUGGGAACCUUCCACGGUUUCUGCGACGCNGCACGACAUAGUAGCCCGCCGUCGGGAGGUACGAGCGCGAGAAGUAAACUAACAANAGAGUAAGUAGCGUUGAGAGUUGCCGACGGACGACGACGAGGGAGGAGG